CAAGUCACAGGGUGCAGUGACUGCUUUUGUGCUUAUACAGAGUAAAUAAGCACAUCUGUAUUCCCUUAUUCCUGUACUUG
Molecule: microRNA precursor, 80 nt
Organism: Gallus gallus (chicken)
Lineage: Eukaryota; Metazoa; Chordata; Aves; Galliformes; Phasianidae
Source: Ensembl